AGGUGCCUGUGUUCCGGCUACCACAUCCAAGGAAGGUAGCAGGCGCGCAAAUUACCCACUCCCGACUCGGGGAGGUAGUGACGAAAAAUAACAAUACAGGACUCUUUCGAGGCCCUGUAAUUGAAAUGAGUACACUUUAAAUCCUUUAACGAGGAUCUAUUGGAGGGCAAGUCUGGUGUCAGCAGCCACGGUAAUUCCAGCUCCAAUAGCGUAUAUUAAAGUUGCUGCAGUUAAAAAGCUCAUAGUUGGAUCUUGA
This is a long non-coding RNA of Protopterus annectens (West African lungfish), 256 nucleotides long. RefSeq lists it as uncharacterized. The record is from RefSeq and is a predicted model, not a curated record. NCBI's taxonomy places the organism in Eukaryota, Metazoa, Chordata, Ceratodontiformes, Protopteridae. The transcript has 3 exons.